This 400-nucleotide ribosomal RNA is filed under the name uncultured bacterium. RNAcentral describes it as "bacterial SSU rRNA". It matches the Rfam family "Bacterial small subunit ribosomal RNA", at positions 356 to 773 of the family's 1533-position model. The record is from RNAcentral.
GGGGAAUAUUGCACAAUGGGCGAAAACCUGAUGCAGCAACGCCGCGUGAGUGAUGACGGUCUUCGGAUUGUAAAGCUCUGUCUUUUGGGACGAUAAUGACGGUACCAAAGGAGGAAGCCACGGCUAACUACGUGCCAGCAGCCGCGGUAAUACGUAGGUGGCAAGCGUUGUCCGGAUUUACUGGGCGUAAAGGGAGCGUAGGCGGAUUUUUAAGUGGGAUGUGAAAUACCCGGGCUCAACUUGGGUGCUGCAUUCCAAACUGGAAGUCUAGAGUGUUGGAGAGGAAAGUGGAAUUCCUAGUGUAGCGGUGAAAUGCGUAGAGAUUAGGAAGAACAUCAGUGGCGAAGGCGGCUUUCUGGACUGUAACUGACGCUGAGGCAUGAAAGCGUGGGGAGCAAAC